This is a small nuclear RNA of Hyaena hyaena (striped hyena), 105 nucleotides long. The record is from RefSeq and is a predicted model, not a curated record. NCBI's taxonomy places the organism in Eukaryota, Metazoa, Chordata, Mammalia, Carnivora, Hyaenidae.
GUGCUUGGUUCUGCAGCACAUACACUAAAAGGGGAAGGAUACAGAGGAUUAACACAGUUCCUGUGCAAGGAUGACAGGCAAAUUUGUGAAGUGUUCCAUAUUUAA